GAUGAACGCUGGCGGCGUGCCUAAUACAUGCAAGUCGAGCGAACAGACGAGGAGCUUGCUCCUCUGACGUUAGCGGCGGACGGGUGAGUAACACGUGGAUAACCUACCUAUAAGACUGGGAUAACUUCGGGAAACCGGAGCUAAUACCGGAUAAUAUAUUGAACCGCAUGGUUCAAUAGUGAAAGACGGUUUUGCUGUCACUUAUAGAUGGAUCCGCGCCGCAUUAGCUAGUUGGUAAGGUAACGGCUUACCAAGGCAACGAUGCGUAGCCGACCUGAGAGGGUGAUCGGCCACACUGGAACUGAGACACGGUCCAGACUCCUACGGGAGGCAGCAGUAGGGAAUCUUGCGCAAUGGGCGAAAGCCUGACGGAGCAACGCCGCGUGAGUGAUGAAGGUCUUCGGGUCGUAAAACUCUGUUAUUAGGGAAGAACAAAUGUGUAAGUAACUAUGCACGUCUUGACGGUACCUAAUCAGAAAGCCCCGGCUAACUACGUG
This 497-nucleotide ribosomal RNA is filed under the name uncultured bacterium. RNAcentral's name for it is "partial 16S ribosomal RNA". It matches the Rfam family "Bacterial small subunit ribosomal RNA", at positions 28 to 507 of the family's 1533-position model. The record is from RNAcentral.